AGCGGCAGACGGGUGAGUAACAUGUGGGAAUCUGCCUUUUGGUUCGGAACAACACGGGGAAACCUGUGCUAAUACCGGAUAAGUCCUAACGGAGAAAGUUUUAUGCACCAUUGGAUGAGCCCGCACUUGAUUAGUUUGUUGGUGAGGUAAUGGCUCACCAAGACUACAAUCAAUAGCUGAUUUGAGAGGAUGAUCAGCCACACUGGGACUGAGAUACGGCCCAGACUCC
This 229-nucleotide ribosomal RNA is filed under the name uncultured bacterium. RNAcentral's name for it is "partial 16S ribosomal RNA". It matches the Rfam family "Bacterial small subunit ribosomal RNA", at positions 94 to 339 of the family's 1533-position model. The record is from RNAcentral.